UGAGGAAUAUUGGUCAAUGGGCGGAAGCCUGAACCAGCCAUCCCGCGUGAAGGAAGAAGGCCUUAUGGGUUGUAAACUUCUUUUCUGUUUGAAGAAUAAGCUUGUCGAGACAAGUGAUGCCGGUAGGACAGGAAUAAGCAUCGGCUAACUCCGUGCCAGCAGCCGCGGUAAUACGGAGGAUGCAAGCGUUAUCCGGAUUUAUUGGGUUUAAAGGGUGCGCAGGUGGUUUAGUAAGUCAGUGGUGAAAGUCUGCCGCUUAACGGUAGGAUUGCCAAUGAUACUGAUGGACUUGAAUAUGGAUGAGGUAGGAGGAAUGUGGAGUGUAGCGGUGAAAUGCUUAGAUAUUACACAGAACACCGAUUGCGAAGGCAGCUUACUAAUCCAUUAUUGGCGCUGAGGCACGAAAGCGUGGGGAUCAAACAG
This 423-nucleotide ribosomal RNA is filed under the name uncultured bacterium. RNAcentral describes it as "bacterial SSU rRNA". It matches the Rfam family "Bacterial small subunit ribosomal RNA", at positions 355 to 775 of the family's 1533-position model. The record is from RNAcentral.